UAACGUCCGUCGUGAAGAGGGAAACAACCCAGACCGCCAGCUAAGGUCCCAAAGUCAUGGUUAAGUGGGAAACGAUGUGGGAAGGCCCAGACAGCCAGGAUGUUGGCUUAGAAGCAGCCAUCAUUUAAAGAAAGCGUAAUAGCUCACUGGUCGAGUCGGCCUGCGCGGAAGAUGUAACGGGGCUAAACCAUGCACCGAAGCUGCGGCAGCGACACUGUGUGUUGUUGGGUAGGGGAGCGUUCUGUAAGCCUGUGAAGGUGUGUCGUGAGGCAUGCUGGAGGUAUCAGAAGUGCGAAUGCUGACAUAAGUAACGAUAAAGCGGGUGAAAAGCCCGCUCGCCGGAAGACCAAGGGUUCCUGUCCAACGUUAAUCGGGGCAGGGUGAGUCGACCCCUAAGGCGAGGCCGAAAGGCGUAGUCGAUGGGAAACGGGUUAAUAUUCCCGUACUUGGUGUUACUGCGAAGGGGGGACGGAGAAGGCUAUGUUGGCCGGG
This 492-nucleotide ribosomal RNA is filed under the name Salmonella enterica. RNAcentral describes it as "partial 23S ribosomal RNA". It matches the Rfam family "Bacterial large subunit ribosomal RNA", at positions 999 to 1495 of the family's 2925-position model. Lineage: Bacteria; Pseudomonadati; Pseudomonadota; Gammaproteobacteria; Enterobacterales; Enterobacteriaceae. The record is from RNAcentral.